Fukomys damarensis (Damara mole-rat) is the source of this 105-nucleotide non-coding RNA. NCBI's taxonomy places the organism in Eukaryota, Metazoa, Chordata, Mammalia, Rodentia, Bathyergidae. The record is from Rfam.
UUGCUUUGGCAGCACAAAUAUUAAAAUUGGAAUGAUACAGAGAAGAUUAGCAUGGCCCCUGCAAAAGGAUGACAUGCAAAUUCGUAUUAAAAAAAAAAAGAAAUA